CCUACGGGGGGCAGCAGUGAGGAAUAUUGGUCAAUGGACGAGAGUCUGAACCAGCCAAGUAGCGUGAAGGAUGACUGCCCUAUGGGUUGUAAACUUCUUUUAUAUGGGAAUAAAAUGUUCCACGUGUGGGAUUUUGUAUGUACCAUAUGAAUAAGGAUCGGCUAACUCCGUGCCAGCAGCCGCGGUAAUACGGAGGAUCCGAGCCUUAUCCGGAUUUAUUGGGUUUAAAGGGAGCGUAGGUGGAUUGUUAAGUCAGUUGUGAAAGUUUGCGGCUCAACCGUAAAAUUGCAGUUGAAACUGGCAGUCUUGAGUACAGUAGAGGUGGGCGGAAUUCGUGGUGUAGCGGUGAAAUGCUUAGAUAUCACGAAGAACUCCGAUUGCGAAGGCAGUUCACUGGACUGCAACUGACACUGAGGCUCGAAAGUGUGGGUAUCAAACAGGAUUAGAUACCCGAGUAGUC
Molecule: ribosomal RNA, 460 nt
Filed under: uncultured bacterium
Lineage: Bacteria
Description: partial 16S ribosomal RNA
Rfam family: Bacterial small subunit ribosomal RNA
Source: RNAcentral